Molecule: unclassified non-coding RNA, 139 nt
Filed under: soil metagenome
Description: partial internal transcribed spacer 1
Source: RNAcentral
CCUAGAGUAUGCGGGCUUUGCCUGCCAUCCCUUACCCAUGUCUUUUGAGUACCUUCGUUUCCUCGGCGGGUCCGCCUGCCGACUGGACAAUUUAAACCUUUUGCAGUUGCAAUCAGCGUCUGAAAAAACUUAAUAGUUA